UACGGAGGGUGCGAGCGUUGUUCGGAAUCAUUGGGCGAAAAGCGCGUGUAGGCGGCUUGGCAAGUCGGUUGUGAAAUCCCGGGGCCAAACCCCAGAACUGGAAUCGAUACUGCAUCGCUAGAGUCCCGGAGAGGAAGUCGGAAUUCCCGGUGUAGAGGUGAAAUUAGUAGAAAUCGGGAGGAACACUAGUGGCUAAGGCGGCCGCCUGGACGAUGUAUGACGCUGAGUGGCGAAAAAGUGGGGAGCAAACUGG
This 253-nucleotide ribosomal RNA is filed under the name uncultured bacterium. RNAcentral describes it as "partial 16S ribosomal RNA". It matches the Rfam family "Bacterial small subunit ribosomal RNA", at positions 524 to 776 of the family's 1533-position model. The record is from RNAcentral.